Molecule: long non-coding RNA, 334 nt
Organism: Mauremys reevesii (Reeves's turtle)
Lineage: Eukaryota; Metazoa; Chordata; Testudines; Geoemydidae
Exons: 3
Source: RefSeq, a predicted model, not a curated record
AUGAAAUUCAGUCCAGAUAAGAAGGGGUUGGUGCCAAAUGGACAGGGGAAGGAACCUGAAAGUAUACUGAAAGACAAUUGCUGAUGAAGCAGCAGCACAUGUUGGGGAACAAUGCCUUUGAAAGCAUUACUGCCAGUGAUGAGACAGAAGAAUUGGAUUGCAUCUAGCAGUGGGAACAGAAAGAAACAGAGAUAUAGCUUAGUGCAUCAACCAGGCUUCCAGGAGUCAGCAACUAGAGCAAUAUUAUGAUGGUCCUGUCAGUAAAAUUCAGAGACUCAUCUGUGUCCAGGAUGGGAGGCCCAGGCCUUUGUUUCCACUGGAAAUUCAAUCAUGC